UUUCCGUAGGUGAACCUGCGGAAGGAUCAUUGUCGAAUCCUGCGAUAGCAAAUUGACCCGCUAACGUGUAAAACACAUUGGGCGAGCGUCGGGGGGCUUCGGACCCUCGUCUGUGAACCCUAGGCAGGUGGCCCUUCGGGUGCCCACUGGCCUACGAAAUCGGGCGCGGAAAGCGCCAAGGAAAGUAAAACUGAAAUGCAUGCGCGCUUCAUGUACGCUUGAAGUGCCGUCAUUUUGAAACACAAACGACUCUCGGCAACGGAUAUCCCGGCUCUC
RNAcentral lists this unclassified non-coding RNA (276 nucleotides) under root metagenome. Its description in RNAcentral is "partial contains small subunit ribosomal RNA, internal transcribed spacer 1, and 5.8S ribosomal RNA". The record is from RNAcentral.